UGUUAAAAAUUUCAUCUAUUUCUACUGUUAAAAAUUAGUCCCUGUAUGUUAGUAUGAGGAACAAAUUUUUUUUUUACGAUAGAAUUAGAUGAAAUUUUCAACA
Molecule: non-coding RNA, 103 nt
Organism: Gossypium hirsutum (cotton)
Lineage: Eukaryota; Viridiplantae; Streptophyta; Magnoliopsida; Malvales; Malvaceae
Source: Rfam